CUGCUGUGUAUAGGUGCUGUCUCCUCGUAGCAUGAUCUUCCACAAUCUCGUUUAUCUGACACUGAAUACAUGUGUUCACGGUUGGUGGGAUCUUGUCACUCAUAUGCUCCAAGAUUCUCCCAAGCUAAGAUUUCUCAAACUCCAUGAUGUACGCUAACCACAUCGUGGUGGUCUACUGGUUUCCACUAGAAGAGGAGUUGCCCUGUUGGUCCAGGCCAGGGAUCGACUUCCCUCUAGUGCGAAAUUAUUAGUUCCACAUGUGGCCACGCGGAUAUGGGCUCAUGCUUACAGCCCAUUUGAAUACCCGGGAGAGGAUCCAUCCGUGGAUUGCACCUCCCACCCGGGGGUUAGGUCUGUGUCUUUAAUAGACCCGGGUUUAACCCCCUUUCCAUGAUGUACGCUUAUGUUGCUUAAUUAAAUAAUGUUUUUUUUGUUACAUCCUUAUGCAUCGGUCAAAUUUACUAAGAGCAUCAUUAUCGCGGGUGCUAAGCCCCGUCUCUUACGUUUUUUUUUUUAAAAAAAAAACCUUAAUAAUGCAAAAGACGUCGCUUAAUUAAGCGCUACAAGAGACGUCCCUUACGGUACACGCGUCCUAACGCGACAUCUCAGUCUCUCUCUCAUCUCUCUUUCUCGACUGAUUCGGUUUGAUUCCGAAACUUCCACCACCGGAAUCGCCGCCGUCUCAGUUGCUUCACCUCCUCCUCCGUUGACAAAUUGAAGAAAGUGGUAGAGGAAGGUAAUGCCUACGGAGCUUUGCAGAUGUACAAAUCCUUCAGUGCCAGGUUCCUUCAUUACCCAAUUCAUCAAGUAUCGAAAUACCUCUUUUUGACUCUGUUAAUCGGUUAAAGUUUGGAUCUUUGAUGUUGUUUCUUACUUUUGAAUAUGAGAUUAAAAGCAUUAGCCUUUUUUUUUGUUUGCUCGGCAGAUAUGUUACGGGAAGAGGAAAGAUCUGCAGAGAAGAAGAAUAGAAAGAACAAGGAGACAAAAUCAGAAACAAAAGAAGAGAAGAGAGCAGAGAAGGAUGAGAAGAUCUUGCCAGAGGAGAAGAACACAACUUCUGUUGCGCUUCCUUGCAUUGAUAAGCUUCGAGACGAGUUGUCUUGUGCAAUUUGUCUUGAGAUUUGUUAUGAACCAAGUACUACAACUUGUGGACACAGGUACAUCUUACUACACAACAAACACCACAGAGUUGUCAUUGUGCGGUGAAUUUGAAAUGGCAAAUACUGCACGGUUAAUACAGUUCUUUGGAACACAAUCCAGCUUAUGUUCCCUAAAGAAGUGGAAGCAUAGAGAGGUGCUGCUUCUGCUAAUUUCCUAACCAAGGAAACGCCAAGCCCUAGAGACUCUAAUCAGAAGGUAACAAGCAGGAACAGAGAUACGGCGUUUCAAGCUAGGUUGCAGAGAGACGAUAUAUCGAGGUUACUUGUGUCUGAAGAGAGAAGGAGGAGAGGCGUGAGGUUGGAUCAAGAUAGCGAUGCAGCGUUUGCGUUGCGGUUACAGCGGUAGGAAUUUGCGUCUGCCUUUGGCGGUUGCAGAGGGAUGCAUUGCCUCUUUUCAGUAUGCUAAGAGUAAAAUUUAAGUCUUGCAUAGAUAGAGAACCACUGCUUAACGAGACGCAGAUAACAAACUCAAAGUGGUGAAAACUCCAAAUGCUGUGAAUCCCCUUGUGCUUGGUUCUUUUGUAAGUUUUUCAAUCUAAGAACUUGAAUAUAGAGUUAGCAUGUACUAUGUUUUAAGAAAAAGUUUAAGUUAAUAAGAAAAAUCAAAAAAAUUUGGUGUUUAAUUAA
RNA transcript from Brassica napus (rape), 1787 nucleotides. It is a transcript of the gene named LON peptidase N-terminal domain and RING finger protein 3-like, with no coding region annotated. The transcript has 6 exons. The record is from RefSeq and is a predicted model, not a curated record. NCBI's taxonomy places the organism in Eukaryota, Viridiplantae, Streptophyta, Magnoliopsida, Brassicales, Brassicaceae.